GAUAAACGCUGGCGGCGUGCAUAACACAUGCAAGUCGAACGAUGAAGAUUAAAAGAUUUCUUCGGAAUGAACUUAAUUGGAUUAGUGGCGGACGGGUGAGUAACGCGUGAGUAACCUGCCUUGUACAAGGGGAUAGCCGUUGGAAACGACGAAUAAUACCCUAUGACAUCAAAUAAUCGCAUGAUAAUUUGAUCAAAGAUUUAUCGGUAUAAGAUGGACUCGCGUCUGAUUAGCUAGUUGGUAGAGUCAAAGCCUACCAAGGCAACGAUCAGUAGCCGGCUUGAGAGAGUGUACGGCCACAUUGGGACUGAGACACGGCCCAGACUCCUACGGGAGGCAGCAGUGGGGAAUUUUGCACAAUGGGGGAAACCCUGAUGCAGCGACGCCGCGUGAUUUAGAAGGCCUUCGGGUUGUAAAAAUCUUUUGUAUGGGAAGAAAAUGACAGUACCAUACGAAUAAGGACCGGCUAAUUACGUG
This 477-nucleotide ribosomal RNA is filed under the name uncultured bacterium. Its description in RNAcentral is "partial 16S ribosomal RNA". It matches the Rfam family "Bacterial small subunit ribosomal RNA", at positions 28 to 507 of the family's 1533-position model. The record is from RNAcentral.